Molecule: ribosomal RNA, 332 nt
Filed under: uncultured Actinomycetes bacterium
Lineage: Bacteria; Bacillati; Actinomycetota; Actinomycetes
Description: bacterial SSU rRNA
Rfam family: Bacterial small subunit ribosomal RNA
Source: RNAcentral
CAGGUAGGUGGUUUGAUAAGUCUGUUGUGAAAGCUCCUGGCUUAACUGGGAGAGGUCAACAGAAACUAUCAGGCUUGAGUAUAGGAGAGGGUACUGGAAUUCCCGGUGUAGCGGUGAAAUGCGCAGAGAUCGGGAGGAACACCAAUGGCGAAAGCAGGUACCUGGACUAUUACUGACACUCAGCUGCGAAAGCUAGGGGAGCAAACAGGAUUAGAUACCCUGGUAGUCCUAGCCGUAAACGAUGCACAUUAGGCGUGAGGGGUAUCGACCCCCUUCGUGCCGACGCAAACGCAUUAAAUGUGCCGCCUGGGGAGUACGGCCGCAAGGUUGAA